Molecule: unclassified non-coding RNA, 222 nt
Filed under: Hevea brasiliensis (rubber tree)
Lineage: Eukaryota; Viridiplantae; Streptophyta; Magnoliopsida; Malpighiales; Euphorbiaceae
Source: RNAcentral
AGCCCAUUGUAGUACAUAGGCCCUGAAAUUUUAUAUAUCAUAUUACAAGAAAUGUAAAAAUGCAAAAGAUUUUCCAGGUUCAUGUUUUGAAAAGACUAGAAUACUCACCAUUUGGAUCUAUUGCAGUGUAAAUUUUCCCAGUGAAAUUUAAGCAGCAAAAGCAUUACGUAAACCACAAAAAUAAAAAGAAAAGUUAGCUGUAAUUAAUUAAGGAAGAUUAAU